AGUCAUUUAAUAAAGUUUUAAUUUUAUGAAGGGUCAUAAGAGCUAAAAGAAAACUAUUUAAUUGAUGUAUGGAGAGAUAAUGAUAUUUAUAAAUUAUAAUGUGAUAAAGCUACUAUUAGUCAAAAAAAGAAGCCAUUAUACAAAGGGUGGAAAUAUGACUAAAAUUCUUAAUUUUGUAUAUGUCAUGAGUAUCAUUCUUUCCAUAUUUAUUGUUUCAAUGAACGUGAAUGGUCUUGAAUGUAGAAAUGAUUAUGAAUGUCUAAACAAACGUUGUACAGUUCCUUUUGAACCGAGGUGUAUAUUUUAUAGAUGUAAAUGUAUUCAAAAUAAUUUUGAUUUCUUUUGAAUAAAAAUACUUACCCACUAUGUACCAA
This is a long non-coding RNA of Trifolium pratense (red clover), 374 nucleotides long. RefSeq lists it as uncharacterized. Lineage: Eukaryota; Viridiplantae; Streptophyta; Magnoliopsida; Fabales; Fabaceae. The transcript has 2 exons. The record is from RefSeq and is a predicted model, not a curated record.